Molecule: small RNA, 559 nt
Filed under: Pongo abelii (Sumatran orangutan)
Lineage: Eukaryota; Metazoa; Chordata; Mammalia; Primates; Hominidae
Description: processed transcript
Source: RNAcentral
AAAGGGGGAUGUCAGUUGCUCUGAAGUUAAAUUCCAGGAUUCUGUCACAUGCUGAUAUAGUGCCAAAGCAUAUGGAUCUCCAUAUGGUGCUGCUUUUGGGGUUUAUACCACCUGUAAUCUAGCUGAUUUUCAUUCAUUUAAAUUUGUCCAAGAGGGGGUCCUGAUGACAACUUAAUUGAAGGUGGAGGAACAAAAUUUGUCUGCAAACCUGGAGCCAGAAAUAUUACUGUCAUAUUCCACCCAUUACUAAGAUUUAUUCAGGAGAUUGAGCAUGCCCUGGGUCUUGGCCCAGCCAAACAGUGUCCUCUUCGAGAGUUUCUUACCGUGUACAUCAAAAACAUCUUUCUCAAUCAAGUCUUGGCUGAGAUCAACAAGGAGAUUGAAGGAGUCACUAAAACAUCUGACCCUUUGAAGAUUCUGGCCAACGCAGACACCAUGAAGGUGCUGGGAGUGCAGCGGCCUCUCCUACAGAGCACAAUCAUUGUGGAGAAGACGGUGCAAGAUCUCCUGAACCUGAUGCAUGACUUGAGUGCAUAUUCAGAUCAAUUCCUCAACAUGG